Molecule: ribosomal RNA, 253 nt
Filed under: uncultured bacterium
Lineage: Bacteria
Description: partial 16S ribosomal RNA
Rfam family: Bacterial small subunit ribosomal RNA
Source: RNAcentral
CACGUAGGGCGCGAGCGUUGUCCGGAAUUAUUGGGCGUAAAGAGCUCGUAGGCGGCCUGUUGCGUCCGCUGUGAAAGCCCGGGGCUUAACCCCGGGUCGGCAGUGGAUACGGGCAGGCUAGAGGUAGGUAGGGGAGAAUGGAAUUCCCGGUGUAGCAGUGAAAUGCGUAGAGAUCGGGAGGAACACCAGUGGCGAAGGCGGCUACCUGGACCAGCACUGACACUGAAGCACGAAAGCGUGGGGAGCAAACAGG